UUAUCAGCCUUGUUACAAGACUGUGCUAACAAGUUUGUUACAGCCAUGAUAUAACAAGGAUGUUACAAGGUUGACGACACAAGGUUGUAACAAUCUUGUUAUAUCAAGCAUGUAACAGACUUGUCAGAACAACCUUGCAACAAGUCUGAUAA
Paramuricea clavata is the source of this 152-nucleotide non-coding RNA. The record is from the annotation of a GenBank genome assembly. Lineage: Eukaryota; Metazoa; Cnidaria; Anthozoa; Malacalcyonacea; Plexauridae.